Long non-coding RNA from Symphalangus syndactylus (siamang), 1111 nucleotides. RefSeq lists it as uncharacterized. Lineage: Eukaryota; Metazoa; Chordata; Mammalia; Primates; Hylobatidae. The record is from RefSeq and is a predicted model, not a curated record.
UGUGUAAUCACCAUGUCCGUUCCAUCUUAUCUCACCUCCAAAUAGCUUACUCACUGGUAGAACCUCCAUAUACUUGUGUACUGGAAAUACAUUGCCCACUCUGGGUACAGCAUCAAAAGAAGUCCCUCUGAAGGAGCAAAUGCAAAGAGCAAAUUGGAAAUGUAUAUCAUUUAGCACAUGUUCUCUGGUGAAAGACUAUGUGUGACCAGACAUACAAUGAAAACCUACCCAUCCAGCAGCACACCAUCCACGGAGGUAUUGAAUAGCUGAGGCUUGAUAGAGUUACAUCACUUGUCCAAAGAGAUAAUGCCAGUGAAUGGAAUGGCCAGAUCUAAUUCCAGAAUCCGUAAAGCUCCACUGCUUCUCUCUGAAUAUAAUAACCCAUCCACAAGCCCUAAGAUAUUAGACACAUCAGUGAUCACUCCAUCUGCUUUUGGCCCAUUGCUCUUGUCAGGAUUUAUGCAUUUAUGUCUGCAAUAAUUAUUUAUUGAGGACCUUCUCUCUUGCAGUUGCAUAUGGCCUUAUAACUGAAUUCUGACUUUGUGUCUCUCUUGGGAUAGACAGAUAAAAAUUUUUCAUAUGUGAUAUUCUUUCUGUCUCCUACCUCUCAUCUAUGAGCCUGAAACAGCAGAUUCAGUAGAACAGUCACAGUUUCUCAGGAAUGCCAGAGCCACAAGUUGGGAGGAGCCCAGGUCUGUCCAAUAAUCUGGAACAUCCAUCCACCAGGAACAUUGUUGCACUUUAUGUGACUAAAAAACAUUUUUUAAGGAAAAAAGCACUAAAAUUUUGGGUUAUAUUUGUUGCAAUAGCUGUGUUACUUUCCUAAUGCACAAUCACAAAUGUAAAAUGCACACACACAGAGUGUGAGGAAAUAUAUUGCUAUUGGACUACUUGUAGUCCAUUUAAUUUUUUUAUAUAGCUAUAGCCAGAUCUGGGGUGAAAUGGUUUAGAAUAAUAAUUUCCAAUAGUAUACAUCAUACCUUUAAAAACACUUUAUGGAUGGAUAAGUAUCUAAUUAUGGAACUUGCCUGCAAUGUAAGUGAUGAGAGAAACUCUUUAUAUAUGCUUUAUUUUUUUUCUGAAUGCAUAGGUUCAGAAUUAUUAAACAAAC